GACGAACGCUGGCGGCGUGCCUAAUACAUGCAAGUUGAGCGAUGAAGAUUGGUGCUUGCACCAAUUUGAAGAGCAGCGAACGGGUGAGUAACGCGUGGGGAAUCUGCCUUUGAGCGGGGGACAACAUUUGGAAACGAAUGCUAAUACCGCAUAACAACUUUAAACAUAAGUUUUAAGUUUGAAAGAUGCAAUUGCAUCACUCAAAGAUGAUCCCGCGUUGUAUUAGCUAGUUGGUGAGGUAAAGGCUCACCAAGGCGAUGAUACAUAGCCGACCUGAGAGGGUGAUCGGCCACAUUGGGACUGACACACGGCCCAAACUCCUACGGGAGGCAGCAGUAGGGAAUCUUCGGCAAUGGACGAAAGUCUGACCGAGCAACGCCGCGUGAGUGAAGAAGGUUUUCGGAUCGUAAAACUCUGUUGGUAGAGAAGAACGUUGGUGAGAGUGGAAAGCUCAUCAAGUGACGGUAACUACCCAGAAAGGGACGGCUAACUACGUG
This 497-nucleotide ribosomal RNA is filed under the name uncultured bacterium. RNAcentral describes it as "partial 16S ribosomal RNA". It matches the Rfam family "Bacterial small subunit ribosomal RNA", at positions 28 to 507 of the family's 1533-position model. The record is from RNAcentral.